This 492-nucleotide ribosomal RNA is filed under the name uncultured bacterium. RNAcentral describes it as "partial 16S ribosomal RNA". It matches the Rfam family "Bacterial small subunit ribosomal RNA", at positions 29 to 507 of the family's 1533-position model. The record is from RNAcentral.
AUUGAACGCUGGCGGCAUGCUUUACACAUGCAAGUCGAACGGUAACAGGCCUUCGGGUGCUGACGAGUGGCGAACGGGUGAGUAAUGCAUCGGAACGUACCCAGAGGUGGGGGAUAACGCAGCGAAAGCUGUGCUAAUACCGCAUGUGAUCUGAGGAUGAAAGCGGGGGACCGAGCAGCAAUGUUUGGCCUCGCGCCUUUGGAGCGGCCGAUGUCGGAUUAGCUAGUUGGUGGGGUAAAGGCCUACCAAGGCGACGAUCCGUAGCUGGUCUGAGAGGACGACGUGGCUAACUGGGAUGGAGAGAUGGGCGAGGCGAAAAAGGGACGCAGAGGGUGGGGGGUGUGGACAAUGGGGGCGACGCGGAGCCAGCCAGGUCGCGUGCGAGAGGAAGGCAGUCGGGGUGUAAACGGCGUUGGUGCGGGAAGAAAUCCACUGGGCUAAUACCCCGGGGGGCUGAGGGUACCGGACGAAUAAGCACCGGAUCACUUCGUG